This 283-nucleotide ribosomal RNA is filed under the name uncultured bacterium. Its description in RNAcentral is "partial 16S ribosomal RNA". It matches the Rfam family "Bacterial small subunit ribosomal RNA", at positions 524 to 799 of the family's 1533-position model. The record is from RNAcentral.
UACGGGGGGGCAAGCGGUUGUUCGGAAUUACUGGGCGUAAAGGGCGCAGGUAGGCGGUCAGACCAAGGUCGAGUGUGAAAUUCCAGGCUUAACUCUGGCGCGCUCGCUCGAUACUGGUCGGCUAGAGUGUGGAAGAGGAUGCUGGAAUUCCGGUGUAGCGGUGAAAUGCGUAGAUAUCGGGAGGAACACCAGUGGCGAAGGCGGGCAUCUGGGCCAACACUGACGCUGAGGCGCGAAAGCUAGGGGAGCAAACAGGGAUUAAGAAACCCGUGAGUAGUCCGAG